AUACGGAGGGUGCAAGCGUUGUUCGGAAUCACUGGGCGUAAAGGGCGCGCAGGCGGUUUGGUAAGUCAGAUGUGAAAGCCCACGGCUCAACCGUGGAAGUGCAUUUGAAACUGCCAGACUUGAGUACCAGAGGGGAAAGCGGAAUUCCCGGUGUAGAGGUGAAAUUCGUAGAUAUCGGGAGGAAUACCGGUGGCGAAGGCGACUUUCUGGCUGGAUACUGACGCUGAGGCGCGAAAGCGUGGGGAGCAAACAGGAUUAGAAACCCUAGUAGUCC
Molecule: ribosomal RNA, 274 nt
Filed under: uncultured bacterium
Lineage: Bacteria
Description: partial 16S ribosomal RNA
Rfam family: Bacterial small subunit ribosomal RNA
Source: RNAcentral